RNAcentral lists this ribosomal RNA (459 nucleotides) under uncultured bacterium. RNAcentral describes it as "partial 16S ribosomal RNA". It matches the Rfam family "Bacterial small subunit ribosomal RNA", at positions 338 to 795 of the family's 1533-position model. The record is from RNAcentral.
CCUACGGGUGGCAGCAGUGAGGAAUAUUGGUCAAUGGUCGAGAGCCUGAACCAGCCAAGUCGCGUGCGGGAAGACGGUCCUAUGGAUUGUAAACCUCUUUUGCCGGGGAGCAAAAAGCGGUACGUGUACCGCAUCGAGAGUACCCGGAGAAAAAGCAUCGGCUAACUCCGUGCCAGCAGCCGCGGUAAUACGGAGGAUGCGAGCGUUAUCCGGAUGUAUUGGGUUUAAAGGGUGCGCAGGCGGCGUGCCAAGUCAGCGGUAAAAUCGCGGGGCUCAACCCCGACAAGCCGUUGAAACUGGCGUGCUAGAGAGGGCGAGAAGUAUGCGGAAUGCGUGGUGUAGCGGUGAAAUGCAUAGAUAGCACGCAGAACUCCGAUUGCGAAGGCAGCAUACCGGCGCCCAACUGACGCUCAGGCACGAAAGCGUGGGUAUCGAACAGGAUUAGAUACCCCAGUAGUC